Molecule: ribosomal RNA, 490 nt
Filed under: uncultured bacterium
Lineage: Bacteria
Description: partial 16S ribosomal RNA
Rfam family: Bacterial small subunit ribosomal RNA
Source: RNAcentral
CUUGCACGCUGGCGGCAGGCUUAACACAUGCAAGUCGAGCGGUAGCACAGGGGAGCUUGCUCCCUGGGUGACGAGCGGCGGACGGGUGAGUAAUGUCUGGGAAACUGCCUGAUGGAGGGGGAUAACUACUGGAAACGGUAGCUAAUACCGCAUAACGUCGCAAGACCAAAGAGGGGGACCUUCGGGCCUCUUGCCAUCAGAUGUGCCCAGAUGGGAUUAGCUAGUAGGUGGGGUAAUGGCUCACCUAGGCGACGAUCCCUAGCUGGUCUGAGAGGAUGACCAGCCACACUGGAACUGAGACACGGUCCAGACUCCUACGGGAGGCAGCAGUGGGGAAUAUUGCACAAUGGGCGCAAGCCUGAUGCAGCCAUGCCGCGUGUGUGAAGAAGGCCUUCGGGUUGUAAAGCACUUUCAGCGAGGAGGAAGGUGGUGAGCUUAAUACGCUCAUCAAUUGACGUUACUCGCAGAAGAAGCACCGGCUAACUCCGUA